Molecule: transfer RNA, 72 nt
Organism: Ipomoea nil (Japanese morning glory)
Lineage: Eukaryota; Viridiplantae; Streptophyta; Magnoliopsida; Solanales; Convolvulaceae
Rfam family: tRNA
About the family: Transfer RNA (tRNA) molecules are approximately 80 nucleotides in length.
Source: Rfam
GGAUCCGUGGUGCAAUGGUAGUGCGUUUGACUCUAGAUUAGAAGGUUGGGUGUUCAAUUCAUGUUGGGUUUA